GUCGAGAAUAAUUCACAAUGGGGGAAACCCUGAUGGUGCAACGCCGCGUGGAGGAUGAAGGUCUUCGGAUUGUAAACUCCUGUCAUCUGGGAGUAAGACCUGACGGUGAAUAGCCGGCAGGGUUGAUAGUACCAGAAGAGGAAGGGACGGCUAACUUCGUGCCAGCAGCCGCGGUAAUACGAAGGUCCCAAGCGUUGUUCGGAAUCACUGGGCGUAAAGGGAGCGUAGGCGGCGUGGUAAGUCAGAUGUGAAAUCCCGGGGCUCAACCCCGGAACUGCAACCGAGACUGCCAUGCUUGAGGGUUGGAGAGGUAGCUGGAAUUCUCGGUGUAGCAGUGAAAUGCGUGGAUAUCGAGAGGAACACUCGUGGCGAAGGCGAGCUACUGGACAACAUCUGACGCUGAGGCUCGAAGGCCAGGGGAGCAAAAGGGAUUAGAAACCCGAGUAGUCC
RNAcentral lists this ribosomal RNA (450 nucleotides) under uncultured bacterium. RNAcentral describes it as "partial 16S ribosomal RNA". It matches the Rfam family "Bacterial small subunit ribosomal RNA", at positions 354 to 796 of the family's 1533-position model. The record is from RNAcentral.